CAGGCAAGAGCCUUGCCUCUCGAGUAAGCAGAGAGAAAAUGAAGCAACGCCAGGUCAUCUGGGAGCUGAUGGAAGAGCGCUUGCACCUGUCCUCCUUCCAAAUUGUAGGUGGUUUUAUACAGCAAGGUUCUGGUUACCCCCUCCUCCCAGGAGCUCAGCAGGAAGUCAGGGGCUGGCUACCCUAAGGUGCCAGGACACUUGGCACAGAGCAGGACCAGGUCCUCCACUUCCUACCAACACCAGGGUCUUCCUGGGCUCCAGGGAUGCGGCACUGCUGUCACCAGGAUAUAGUCAGCCCCAAAGCUGCUGGCACCACCUGAACUGUGGCCCGCAGCAUAGUGAGCCCUGUCUUCAGGUUCAGGAGACUCUUACCACCUUGAGCUGUCCAGUCUCAGAGGCUGUAUUUUUCAUCCUGCCCCUGAAGCGUCCAGAAUGCGUCCCCUCCCUUCCUGGCUGACAGCUGAGUGGGAGGAAGCUUCUCACUCCCUUUGCUGACCAGUGGGACACCCAUGGACUCCAGGGAGCCCCUCAGCUGGAAGCUGGCCUGGAGGCUCGCUCUCAUUUCCCAAGGGAGGGACACAUGAGGAAACCAGCAGUGUAGCCAGAGAAGCCUGUGGCAGGUCCAGCUUGAGGCUCCCCUCCACCACCCCGACCACCGCCCCUCACCCAGCCUCCAGCCUCCGACUGGAGCAGCCCGACGACAGGGACGUGCCUCACUGGCUGGGUGCCCCAGCGCCAGACCAGGCAGGACAUUGGAUGGCCGAGAUUAACUCAGAAGCCUCCAACUCACCCUUCUUUUACCACCAGGGAAGCUGAGGCUGGAAUGGCUGUCACUCAAGGUCUCCCUCAGCGAGUCUGCUUCCACAGGUGCUGUGACUCCUGCCUCGGAAGCAGGAGCUUUCCCUCAGUCUGUGUUCCCUCAAUAAACCUCUAUCGUCUUAGCAUCUGCUUCUGGGAGAACCUGAACCGACACAGAGGGUGACAUGGGCUCUCAGAGGGGCAUCUGGCUGGGGUAUUCACAGGGCAGUCGGGGAAGCUGUCUUUCCAGGGAGCCCUAAGCUGAGGUGUUGACGUUGAUGGCGCCCACUCAGUCCUAAAACCCCUAACCAUCACCAGGCUGAAAUCCGGCCCCUCCUGGGGCACUGAAGACUGAGGCCGAGAAGAAAUCCCGUCUGCUCUGCUGCUCCAACCCAGCUCUCCAGCCUCUUCCAAAAGAGAGGUGUAAAGGGGCCUCGAGAAUAAGAUCUGAGCAUCGGGACUGAUCUCAAGCUUCUGAAUCAAAGGGCCCAAGCCUAUGGAACAAUCAUUCGGACAGAAGAGGCUGAAGGCAGGAUUUAAACCCAAGUCACUAAAGUGGCACAAACUGGCAAAAUCUUUGACCCAAUAAGUUCACUUUUAGGAAUUUAUCCUACAGACACACAUACACACACAUAUGAUUAAUAUAGCAAUAUUUGUAACAGAAAAAUAUCGGAAAUCUAAACAUCUCUCAAUAGGAAGCUGCUUUAGACACUACGGUAUAGCCCACGUGCAAUCCUAUGUAGCCUUAAAAAAGAAAAAAAUAAACUUCAUUAAAUGAUACAUAAAAAGAUAUAAUGUUAAAAGAAAAAAGCAAGGUACAGAAGAGCGUAUGCAAUAUGCUACUAUUUCUGUAAAAAUGGGGACUACAUAUUUUCUUGUAUGUGUGUAAAACAUCUCUAG
RNAcentral lists this long non-coding RNA (1698 nucleotides) under Equus asinus (donkey). RNAcentral describes it as "lncRNA (ENSEASG00005024154.1)". The record is from RNAcentral. Lineage: Eukaryota; Metazoa; Chordata; Mammalia; Perissodactyla; Equidae.